This 2795-nucleotide long non-coding RNA is filed under the name Ursus maritimus (polar bear). Its description in RNAcentral is "lncRNA (ENSUMAG00000012212.1)". The record is from RNAcentral. Lineage: Eukaryota; Metazoa; Chordata; Mammalia; Carnivora; Ursidae.
GGGAUUAAAAAUAAGUUUGUCUGUUUAAGCGGAUUGCCGAGCUCUUCACCCCACAUCGAAGUGCCCCAACUCCACUUUUAUUUUUUGUUUACAGGCAUUUGUGAGCUCCCGCAAACCAACAUUAGAACAAGAGUUGGGGUUUGCGUGCAGGGAGCUGGAAAACUAGCGUUGGACAUAAAAGAGCACAGGCAGAGGAACCCGGGGCACUCCUGGGUGGGUCUUUAAUGUCUUCCUGUGCCUCGUCCAUAAAAGCCAGCUAAUUAACGAUCCUCUCCACAGGCUUGUGGGGAGGAAAGGAAAAGAUUAGAGGCCGAAGCGCUCGGAGCACAUUCUGAAAAGAAAGGGCAAACGCGGUCAGGGUACUUAUUAAACUGUUAUGCUUGCCUCUUCUGGGGGCUGUUCCCAGCCCUAGAAGCUCUCCGCUUGGUGCUGAAGUGGUCGGGGAGCUCCUGAUCCCUCCCAGGGGUCUCCCGGUGCCCUUGACCUCGAAAGUCAGCCUCUGCGGAAGGGGGUGCUGAGGAUCAGAGGGUCACCACCCCGUCCAGUGCACUGCAGUGGGAGAUGGGUUGGCAGGCCUGAGACAGGAGGAAAAAACCAGGCAUGGGCCAGAAGGCUGGGGACGGGACUCUGUACCUGAGAUUAGGCGAAUUUUGAUCUCCGACUACCCUCUUCAUUCCUGCCAUCGCCCGGACAGCUUGAAUUACUUCGUAGGGAGUGACGGGGAUGCGUUUUCCCCGGGAAAGCCAUUAAGCGGCAGAGCCAGCCUCCCUGUCUAUAUGGAAACCAAUCCCGCCGGCUUAUCUCUAGCUGAUUAGACCAGGGAUCCCACAAUGCUUGAAUUAAAAGCUAUUCUGCAGGAAGCAGCCCAAUGAAAUCUUCCUCGCUUGGAGAGAUUCGAGGACGCUCUGCCAUCUUUGGGUCUUGCCGGCCCAGGGAGGGAUGGCCCUGUGGGGUUCCCUGUACUGCCAUCAGGCUCCUGCGUCUGGGGCACUAUCCUGCUGGCCCACCCCACCCCAGGGCAGGUACUGGAAAACCCAGAUCUUUCUGUAGCCCGGGGCCUGCCUCAGGGACCCAAACUGUCCAGUCCCGGCCCGCACAGCUUGCCCGCCCGCCUUGCCUGCUUCUUUCUGGGAAAACCACACCAGAGCCUCGGCCCCUGCUUUCCCCUGGCUCUUCCUGCAUCCUGGCUGCCCUCGGUGCCCCCCCGGAGCAUGGCUCGCCUGCUUCUGCGGCGAAUAUACAACCUCCCUUCACGACCGUCACUUCUGCGUCCGCAGGCCCUGCCACGCUGGUUAGAAUCAACCCGGGUACCUCGGCAAGCAGUGGCCCACGGAAGGCCCACGGGUAUCGAGUGUCUCCUGCGCAUUCUGCGUAUUGGGUUUUGCAUUUUGGUGCCCCGGCUGCUGUAUCGUGGGAUUCUGGAGUUCAAGGGAACCACAUGGUGUAUAACGAAGCUUCGGAGCCUCGAGCUCCUCGUGAAGGUUUGGCGCCGACUCGGGCUUUCCCUGCAUCGUACCCGCGCCGGCUCGCAGGGGCUCCACUUACUUAUCCGUAUCGGACACAUCUCACAGGUGACUUACUGCCACAUUAUCCCUCCUGGGAGCUUUGUCUGCAUCUCACGAGCUAUUUGGUAACGUCUUCAUCAUCUGUGCUCAACACGGAGUCUGUUUUCCCAUCUAGGUUUCUGGUCCUUUCUAGCAGAACUGCACAUUCUGGGGCAGCAAGCAUGUCCUUCCGGCUGCAGCGGGAACUCAAGCGAGGUCCAACCCUGGCCCCUGACACCUGGGCGGGCUGAGCUCUGACUCGUCCCAGGCCCCACAGCUCAGCACCUGGCCCAGCAGCGGGUGCAGGCUCCCUGGGGAUUGUUGCAGGCUGGUCACUGACCCACACGAGCGUCUGCCUCUCCGGCCGCUGGGGACUCGAGGGGGAGUGCUCACCGAGCUGAGGUGUGUGCAAAGCUGGGGAGGGACAGGUGUUUAUGAGUCACGCAGGUGGCACCUAUCCAGCCAGGGGAGGGCAGUGCUUAGUCUAAUGCCUGAGUUUCCAGGGGGUGGAAUGUACUAGACCUACCGGGGAAUGCUUGGCUCUCAUGGAACUUUGGAUGAAACGCUUCUUUCAGAUUUUGUUCAAUCUCCCUUUCUCUAGGUGUCCAACGGGUGUCCAUGGAGGGCCAGACGAGGGACAAGCCCGAGAGGCAACAGCACUCCCUUUUCACUUGAUCUCUAACGACACAGAAGCUCAGUUCCCCAACAAAACGGGUUGCUCUGGCUUUGUCUUUCCUUGGGGUGACUCCUUCCCGCCAGCAGACUCCGGCCAGCCUUUCCCGCAGACGGUCCAGAACUCUCCUCGGCUCAGGGCUGGACCCCACAUCACGCAUUUAGGAGAAGGAAGUACCAGCAUGAGGACCAGAGAUGCUCAAGGCCGUAAACUAAGCAGCCAUGUCUGCUUUGGCGUCCAUGCUCCUGGGGGGCGAAGCUGGGGCUCCGCACGAGGCAGGUGGGCACCGGACUUCGCAUCUGUUUCGUGAGCUCCUCUGCGAAACCAGCAACAGAAUGUGUCACCGCUGACACGCGGGCCUUCUCACGUGCGUCACCCAGGAGCAGCAGGCCUCAAUCUUCCUUAUAUGUAUUAAUUUUUUCUUUCACAUUAAAAAAUGUUUGUUUUAAAAAAAAAUGUUUCAGGGGCGCUUGGGUGACUCAGUCAGUUAAGCAUCUGCCUUCAGCUCAGGUCAUGAUCCUGGGGUCCUGGGAUCGAGUCCCGUGGUGGGCUCCCUGCUCCCUUCCUGCUUCUCUCUC